Panicum hallii is the source of this 368-nucleotide long non-coding RNA. RefSeq lists it as uncharacterized. Lineage: Eukaryota; Viridiplantae; Streptophyta; Magnoliopsida; Poales; Poaceae. The transcript is spliced from 2 exons. The record is from RefSeq and is a predicted model, not a curated record.
GGUCUCCUCACUCACAUGGCGGCGCACCACCGGCCCCGGCUACUUCGCCUCCGCCGCCGCCGCCACUCCCUCCGGAUGUUGGGCUCUGAAGCGUCAUCCGCGGCGCCGGACGAGAGCUCCCAACCUCUUCCCUGGCAAUUCGUAGAGGAAAGAGGAGCUGCUGCUCGUGGGGGAGAAGAUGGUGACGAGCUGCCGGCUGGCGGUGGUGGAAGAGGAACGAAUGUGGGAUGCCCAGAGCGGAGCAGAUGGCAUGGGAGGAAUGUUCUGCUGCCGGCAGAGCCACGUAGCAGAGAAGAGAAGAAUCACCCUGUCCUCCUGCUAUGUAUGCUUGCGAAUAUCACUUCUUUUUUAUUACCUUGGGAAUAUCA